CCUUUUAGGAAGAAACAGUAUUUUUGGUUUAGGAUCAGGUAAUCUGCAUCCUGAGGUUUAGAAACAAUAUUUUUAUUGGAUCUAAUCCUUGGGAUGUCGAUUAUCACUUCCUUUUGUUAUGACCAAUUUAUCGAUCACUUAAAUCACCAGUUCAAUAAAAUCAACGUCUAUGAGAUGUGGAUUUUGUUGAAACUCUGUCUAGAUUUUGUAUAACGGUUGAAGCAUUUCUGAAGUGGAUUAUCACUAGUGUUUGUUGUAUUUGAUUGCAUUAUUGGAGUUCCUUACGGGACAGCUGGUGCUCCUUGAGGCAUUUCUGCAGAUCCAAUGAGAGAUUGUAGCGUAUAUGUGCCAUGAAGCACUGCAUGCUACAGGUAAAAAUGCACUGUGAGUUUUAUGUGGUGAGAGAGGUCUUCACAUCAUUACAAUCUCAAUUUUGGUUCACAACUCUUUUCUAAGAAUAUAUUUUUGGUGUCUAAUUGCUAGAAAUAAUUCUUUUUCAGAGCUUGUCUACUGGAAUAACGUUAUAUCUCAAGUACAAAAGUUCUCAAAAACAUUUCUAUAGUUUGUAGCUAAACAAAAACUAUAUAUAUAUAUAUUGGAGACCAAUCUAAUGAAAAUAAUUUUUACAAGAGAAUUAAGAAUGAAACAGAUACAUGAAAUUGCACUGGAGUUUGCACUUGUGAAACUGCAGUCUUACAAAUCGGUAGACACUAGGUAGUGAGCAGAUACUAUAGCCAUAAAUAAUGGAGAAGCACCGUUUUGGUUGUUUAUGUCUGCUACUUUUCCAACAUUUUCAGAAAGACUGAACAUGUUGGUUAAUUGGGAAUAACGAGAGGUUCUUGUACAGCAACUAAAAAUAUUUUGUAAUUUAUGAAUUGCAAUUUCUGGCUUUGUUGCAGCACUCAAAUGGCUUCUUCCCUUCCGCCUGUGAAGUAUUUUGCAUCUUUGAAGACCAGAAACUUCAUCAUCUCCACACCACAAAAAUAUGAAACUUCCACGAAAAUGUGUAAAGAAAAUGAUGCUUUGAAAACUGUUAGAGUGUAUACACUUUUGAUGUGAUGAAGUUAUAAAUAAAUAUAUAUAAUAAAGAAUAAAUUUGUAAAAUAAUGAAAAGGUUUGGCUAAUG
RNAcentral lists this long non-coding RNA (1126 nucleotides) under Phaseolus vulgaris (common bean). RNAcentral's name for it is "long non-coding RNA (PVUL_LNC001519)". Lineage: Eukaryota; Viridiplantae; Streptophyta; Magnoliopsida; Fabales; Fabaceae. The record is from RNAcentral.